UUGAUCCUGGCUCAGGACGAACGCUGGCGGCGUGCCUNAUACAUGCAAGUCGAGCGGACUUUAAAAGCUUGCUNUUNAAGUNAGCGGCGGACGGGUGAGUAACACGUGGGCAACCUGCCUGUAAGACUGGGAUAACUUCGGGAAACCGGAGCUNAUACCGGAUNAUCCUNUUCCUCUCAUGAGGAAAAGCUGAAAGACGGUUUACGCUGUCACUUACAGAUGGGCCCGCGGCGCAUUAGCUAGUUGGUGAGGUAACGGCUCACCAAGGCGACGAUGCGUAGCCGACCUGAGAGGGUGAUCGGCNACNCUGGGACUGAGACNCGGCCCAGACUCCUACGGGAGGCAGCAGUAGGGAAUCUUCCGCAAUGGACGAAAGUCUGACGGAGCNACGCCGCGUGAGUGAUGAAGGUNNUCGGAUCGUAAAACUCUGUUGUUAGGGAAGAACAAGUACNAGAGUNACUNCUGGUGCCUNGACGGUACCUNACCAGAAAGCCACGGCUAACUACGUGCCAGCAGCCGCGGUAAUACGUAGGUGGCNAGCGUUNUCCGGAAUUAUUGGGCGUNAAGCGCGCGCAGGCGGUCCUNNNAGUCUNAUGUGAAAGCCCACGGCUNAACCGUGGAGGGUCAUUGGAAACUGGGGNACUNGAGUGCAGAAGAGAAGAGUGGAAUUCCACGUGUAGCGGUGAAAUGCGUAGAGAUGUGGAGGAACACCAGUGGCGAAGGCGACUNUNUGGUCUGUAACUGACGCUGAGGCGCGAAAGCGUGGGGAGCAAACAGGAUUAGAUACCCUNGUAGUCCACGCCGUNAACGAUGAGUGCUNAGUGUUAGAGGGUUUCCGCCCNNUAGUGCUGCAGCAAACGCAUUAAGCACUCCGCCUGGGGAGUACGGCCGCAAGGCUNAAACUCAAAGGAAUUGACGGGGGCCGCACAAGCGGUGGAGCAUGUGGUUUAAUUCGAAGNAACGCGAAGAACCUUACCAGGUCUUGACAUCCUCUGACACUCCUAGAGAUAGGACGUNNUCGGGGNACAGAGUGACAGGUGGNGCAUGGUNGUCGUCAGCUNGUGUCGUGAGAUGUUGGGUUAAGUCCCGCAACGAGCGCAACCCUNGAUCUUAGUUGCCAGCAUUCAGUUGGGCACUCUAAGGUGACUGCCGGUGACAAACCGGAGGAAGGUGGGGAUGACGUCAAAUCAUCAUGCCCCUUAUGACCUNGGCUACACACGUGCUACAAUGGAUGGUACAAAGGGCAGCAAAACCGCGAGGUCGAGCAAAUCCCAUAAAACCAUUCUCAGUUCGGAUUGUAGGCUGCAACUCGCCUACAUGAAGCUGGAAUCGCUAGUAAUCGCGGAUCAGCAUGCCGCGGUGAAUACGUUCCCGGGCNUUGUACACACCGCCCGUCACACCACGAGAGUUUGUAACACCC
RNAcentral lists this ribosomal RNA (1420 nucleotides) under Niallia circulans. Its description in RNAcentral is "Bacillus circulans partial 16S ribosomal RNA". It matches the Rfam family "Bacterial small subunit ribosomal RNA". Lineage: Bacteria; Bacillati; Bacillota; Bacilli; Caryophanales; Bacillaceae. The record is from RNAcentral.